RNAcentral lists this ribosomal RNA (1464 nucleotides) under uncultured bacterium. RNAcentral describes it as "16S ribosomal RNA". It matches the Rfam family "Bacterial small subunit ribosomal RNA". The record is from RNAcentral.
UUAGAGUUUGAUCCUGGCUCAGGAUAAACGCUGGCGGCGUGCCUUAAACAUGCAAGUCGAACGGUCUCUUCUUCGGAAGGGGCAGUGGCGGACGGCUGAGUAACACGUAAGUAACCUGUCCUCAAGUGGGGAAUAACUGCGAGAAAUCGUGGCUAAUACCGCAUGUGGUCUUUUGGGCAGAGGCCUAAAGGAGUAAAGCCGAGAGGUGCUUGAGGUGGGGCUUGCGGCCGAUUAGCUAGUUGGUGAGGUAAAGGCUCACCAAGGCGAUGGUCGGUAGCUGGUCUGAGAGGAUGAUCAGCCAGACUGGGACUGAGAUACGGCCCAGACUCCUACGGGAGGCAGCAGUUAGGAAUUUUGGGCAAUGGGCGAAAGCCUGACCCAGCAACGCCGCGUGGGUGACGAAGGUCUUCGGAUCGUAAAGCCCUUUUCUGUGGGAAGAGGAAGGACGGUACCACAGGAAUAAGCCUCGGCUAACUACGUGCCAGCAGCCGCGGUAAUACGUAGGAGGCGAGCGUUGUCCGGAUUUACUGGGCGUAAAGAGCGCGCAGGCGGCAAGGAAAGUUGGGUGUGAAAUCCCUUGGCUUAACUAAGGGGGGUCACUCAAUACUAUUUUGCUUGAGGGCAGCAGAGGGAAGUGGAAUUCCCGGUGUAGUGGUGAAAUGCGUAGAUAUCGGGAGGAACACCAGUGGCGAAAGCGGCAUUCUGGGCUGCACCUGACGCUGAGGCGCGAAAGCGUGGGGAGCGAACCGGAUUAGAUACCCGGGUAGUCCACGCCCUAAACGAUGGACACUAGGUGUAGGGGGUAUCGACCCCUCCUGUGCCGAAGCUAACGCAUUAAGUGUCCCGCCUGGGGAGUACGGCCGCAAGGCUAAAACUCAAAGGAAUUGACGGGGGCCCGCACAAGCAGCGGAGCGUGUGGUUUAAUUCGACGCAACGCGAAGAACCUUACCAGGACUUGACAUGCUAGUGGUAGGACUCUGAAAGGGGAACGACCCGCGAGGGAGCUAGCACAGGUGCUGCAUGGCUGUCGUCAGCUCGUGCCGUGAGGUGUUGGGUUAAGUCCCGCAACGAGCGCAACCCUUGUUGCUAGUUAGGAUAUCUAGCGAGACUGCCGAGACAAACUCGGAGGAAGGUGGGGAUGACGUCAAGUCAGCACGGCCCUUACGUUCUGGGCUACACACACGCUACAAUGGGCGGUACAGAGGGUAGCAAAGGGGUGACCCCGAGCCAAUCCCACAAAGCCGUCCUCAGUUCAGAUUGCAGGCUGCAACCCGCCUGCAUGAAGUCGGAGUUGCUAGUAACCGCAGGUCAGCACACUGCGGUGAAUAUGUUCCCGGGCCUUGUACACACCGCCCGUCACGUCAUGAAAGCUGGCAACACCUGAAGUCGAUGGGCUAACUCGAAAAGAGAGGCAGUCGCCGAGGGUGGGGCUGGUGAUUGGGACGAAGUCGUAACAAGGUACCC